CCUACGGGUGGCUGCAGUGGGGAAUAUUGGACAAUGGAGGAAACUCUGACGCAGCAACGCCGCGUGAAUGAUGAAGGUCUUCGGCUCGUAAAGUUCUAUUCUCAGGGACGAAAGAAGUGACGGUACCUGAAUAAGAAGCCUCGGCUAACUACGUGCCAGCAGCCGCGGUAAUACGUAGGAGGCAAGCGUUAUCCGGAAUGACUGGGCGUAAAGGGUGCGUAGGUGGUUUGGCAAGUUAGAAGUGAAACCCUAGGGCUUAACCUGGGGAUUACUACUAAAACUGUUGGACUAGAGUGCAGGAGAGGCAAGCGGAAUUCCUAGUGUAGCGGUGGAAUGCGUAGAUAUUAGGAGGAACACCAGUGGCGAAGGCGGGUUGCUAGACUGUAACUGACACUGAGGCACGAAAGCGUGGGGAGCAAACAGGAUUAGAUACCCGUGUAGUC
RNAcentral lists this ribosomal RNA (443 nucleotides) under uncultured bacterium. RNAcentral describes it as "partial 16S ribosomal RNA". It matches the Rfam family "Bacterial small subunit ribosomal RNA", at positions 338 to 795 of the family's 1533-position model. The record is from RNAcentral.